UUAAGCGACUAAGCGUACACGGUGGAUGCCCUGGCAGUCAGAGGCGAUGAAGGGCGUGCUAAUCUGCGAUAAGCGCCGGUAAGGUGAUAUGAACCGUUAUAACCGGCGAUACCCGAAUGGGGAAACCCAGUGUGACUCGUCACACUAUCAUUAACUGAAUCCAUAGGUUAAUGAGGCGAACCGGGGGAACUGAAACAUCUAAGUACCCCGAGGAAAAGAAAUCAACCGAGAUUCCCCCAGUAGCGGCGAGCGAACGGGGAGGAGCCCAGAGCCUGAAUCAGCAUGUGUGUUAGUGGAAGCGUCUGGAAAGGCGCGCGAUACAGGGUGACAGCCCCGUACACAAAAGCGCAUGUGCUGUGAGCUCGAUGAGUAGGGCGGGACACGUGGUAUCCUGUCUGAAUAUGGGGGGACCAUCCUCCAAGGCUAAAUACUCCUGACUGACCGAUAGUGAACCAGUACCGUGAGGGAAAGGCGAAAAGAACCCCGGCGAGGGGAGUGAAAAAGAACCUGAAACCGUGUACGUACAAGCAGUGGGAGCACAGGUUUACCUGUGUGACUGCGUACCUUUUGUAUAAUGGGUCAGCGACUUAUAUUCUGUAGCAAGGUUAACCGAAUAGGGGAGCCGGAGGGAAACCGAGUCUUAACCGGGCGUUAAGUUGCAGGGUAUAGACCCGAAACCCGGUGAUCUAGCCAUGGGCAGGUUGAAGGUUGGGUAACACUAACUGGAGGACCGAACCGACUAAUGUUGAAAAAUUAGCGGAUGACCUGUGGCUGGGGGUGAAAGGCCAAUCAAACCGGGAGAUAGCUGGUUCUCCCCGAAAGCUAUUUAGGUAGCGCCUCGUGAAUUCAUCUCCGGGGGUAGAGCACUGUUUCGGCUAGGGGGCCAUCCCGGCUUACCAACCCGAUGCAAACUGCGAAUACCGGAGAAUGUUAUCACGGGAGACACACGGCGGGUGCUAACGUCCGUCGUGAAGAGGGAAACAACCCAGACCGCCAGCUAAGGUCCCAAAGUCAUGGUUAAGUGGGAAACGAUGUGGGAAGGCCCAGACAGCCAGGAUGUUGGCUUAGAAGCAGCCAUCAUUUAAAGAAAGCGUAAUAGCUCACUGGUCGAGUCGGCCUGCGCGGAAGAUGUAACGGGGCUAAACCAUGCACCGAAGCUGCGGCAGCGAACGUAUCACUUAAAGCGAUUCAGCGGGUUACGAUUGACGGAGCGAAGCGACGUCAAAGCGUAUACAAAGUCGAGUCGGUUUAAGGAUACGUUCGUUGGGUAGGGGAGCGUUCUGUAAGCCUGUGAAGGUGGCCUGUGAGGGUUGCUGGAGGUAUCAGAAGUGCGAAUGCUGACAUAAGUAACGAUAAAGCGGGUGAAAAGCCCGCUCGCCGGAAGACCAAGGGUUCCUGUCCAACGUUAAUCGGGGCAGGGUGAGUCGACCCCUAAGGCGAGGCCGAAAGGCGUAGUCGAUGGGAAACGGGUUAAUAUUCCCGUACUUGGUGUUACUGCGAAGGGGGGACGGAGAAGGCUAUGUUGGCCGGGCGACGGUUGUCCCGGUUUAAGCGUGUAGGUGUGUGUUCCAGGUAAAUCCGGUUCACUUUAACACUGAGGCGUGACGACGAGGCACUACGGUGCUGAAGCAACAAAUGCCCUGCUUCCAGGAAAAGCCUCUAAGCAUCAGGUAACAUCAAAUCGUACCCCAAACCGACACAGGUGGUCAGGUAGAGAAUACCAAGGCGCUUGAGAGAACUCGGGUGAAGGAACUAGGCAAAAUGGUGCCGUAACUUCGGGAGAAGGCACGCUGACACGUAGGUGAAGUGAUUUACUCAUGGAGCUGAAGUCAGUCGAAGAUACCAGCUGGCUGCAACUGUUUAUUAAAAACACAGCACUGUGCAAACACGAAAGUGGACGUAUACGGUGUGACGCCUGCCCGGUGCCGGAAGGUUAAUUGAUGGGGUCAGCGCAAGCGAAGCUCCUGAUCGAAGCCCCGGUAAACGGCGGCCGUAACUAUAACGGUCCUAAGGUAGCGAAAUUCCUUGUCGGGUAAGUUCCGACCUGCACGAAUGGCGUAAUGAUGGCCAGGCUGUCUCCACCCGAGACUCAGUGAAAUUGAACUCGCUGUGAAGAUGCAGUGUACCCGCGGCAAGACGGAAAGACCCCGUGAACCUUUACUAUAGCUUGACACUGAACAUUGAGCCUUGAUGUGUAGGAUAGGUGGGAGGCUUUGAAGCGUGGACGCCAGUCUGCGUGGAGCCAACCUUGAAAUACCACCCUUUAAUGUUUGAUGUUCUAACGUGGACCCGUAAUCCGGGUUGCGGACAGUGUCUGGUGGGUAGUUUGACUGGGGCGGUCUCCUCCUAAAGAGUAACGGAGGAGCACGAAGGUUGGCUAAUCCUGGUCGGACAUCAGGAGGUUAGUGCAAUGGCAUAAGCCAGCUUGACUGCGAGCGUGACGGCGCGAGCAGGUGCGAAAGCAGGUCAUAGUGAUCCGGUGGUUCUGAAUGGAAGGGCCAUCGCUCAACGGAUAAAAGGUACUCCGGGGAUAACAGGCUGAUACCGCCCAAGAGUUCAUAUCGACGGCGGUGUUUGGCACCUCGAUGUCGGCUCAUCACAUCCUGGGGCUGAAGUAGGUCCCAAGGGUAUGGCUGUUCGCCAUUUAAAGUGGUACGCGAGCUGGGUUUAGAACGUCGUGAGACAGUUCGGUCCCUAUCUGCCGUGGGCGCUGGAGAACUGAGGGGGGCUGCUCCUAGUACGAGAGGACCGGAGUGGACGCAUCACUGGUGUUCGGGUUGUCAUGCCAAUGGCACUGCCCGGUAGCUAAAUGCGGAAGAGAUAAGUGCUGAAAGCAUCUAAGCACGAAACUUGCCCCGAGAUGAGUUCUCCCUGAGACUUUAGGUCUCCUGAAGGAACGUUGAAGACGACGACGUUGAUAGGCCGGGUGUGUAAGCGCAGCGAUGCGUUGAGCUAACCGGUACUAAUGAACCGUGAGGCUUAACCUU
Molecule: ribosomal RNA, 2987 nt
Filed under: Salmonella enterica
Lineage: Bacteria; Pseudomonadati; Pseudomonadota; Gammaproteobacteria; Enterobacterales; Enterobacteriaceae
Description: 23S ribosomal RNA
Rfam family: Bacterial large subunit ribosomal RNA
Source: RNAcentral